UCCGGUAUGGUGUAACGGCUAACAUUGCCGCCUUUCACUACUGGAUCGCGGCAGCUCGGGGUUCGAUUCCCCGUACCGGAA
RNAcentral lists this transfer RNA (81 nucleotides) under Asterophora parasitica. RNAcentral describes it as "tRNA-Glu". It matches the Rfam family "tRNA". Rfam says of the family: Transfer RNA (tRNA) molecules are approximately 80 nucleotides in length. Lineage: Eukaryota; Fungi; Basidiomycota; Agaricomycetes; Agaricales; Lyophyllaceae. The record is from RNAcentral.